RNAcentral lists this long non-coding RNA (204 nucleotides) under Nicotiana benthamiana. RNAcentral's name for it is "long non-coding RNA (NBEN_LNC027012)". Lineage: Eukaryota; Viridiplantae; Streptophyta; Magnoliopsida; Solanales; Solanaceae. The record is from RNAcentral.
CGCGCCAAUAUCAGUGGGUCGACGGGCUGGAACGGGCAAGCAAGGCCAAGACCUUGGGGCGGACAAGGUUUGCUUGGAAAGGGCUUGACAAGUCAGCAUCAGCAAAAUGGGGCGGCAUGGCACGGCAUGCGCGCCAACGACAGUCGGCAUGACAUUGGUCGGGACAGCUAAAUGCGGGCUAAGCUAAGGCAAAGCGGGAAUNNN